AGUCCAGGACGGAACCGGUCCUAUUGAUCAUAGUAAACUAAAAGUUUGACUACACUUUGCUCGAUUCGACUAUAUUCAUUUUGCAAUCGAAUAUGAAGAAGCACAGAAUGACAGUUCUGCCCUUCUGCAAGCUUACCGACAAUCGACGUCAUUGUCUUUACUUUCGGGAAAUGAAUUCAAAUCUAUGACAUUUUGAAGUGCGGUCGUCACUCUUUACUGGCAUCGGCCAAGUCGCCUUUCCGAUGUUUCAUGUGUCCGAUAUUUGAUGUUUCCACGAAUUGAUGUUCUACGAAUCUGCUCUUCCGCUGCCGCGGUAAACGUUGGUGGUACCCGCUGGGGGGCACACUUAUGGGCACCAAAAUAAAGGUUAGAAGGAUAUGAUGUCUGAGGGCACUUUUGGUAGGGAAUCCCCAUGAUUACCUCACCCAUUAAAGGGCCCCGCCAUAAUCAAAAGUCUUGAUUUUUGCCCGUUAUCUGGACCCAUCCGGGAAGAAUCACGGCCGACGUUCACAGAUUGAAUGAUUCCCAUCCCCCUUGGCGAAUAUAAAAAUAACAGAUGGCCCUGAUCGUGCCAUCAACGUCCAAGCCCUGACAGCCGACACACGGCCAGUGGGUCCCACCGCGAAUCGACCUUCCAUCUUGCAUUGGAGCUAAAUUAGCUGAUAAAGCUCCUGUUGCAGUUGCAGACCUCACCAUACUUGUGUAUGUCUUUGAAGGCAAGUCUUUCAGCCGUUGGGGCUGUAGCCAGUGCCAGUGACACCCUCUUUCCAAUAUAUAUCUUGCAAGAAUCCACACCCCACUGUGCCUCUCACGGCCCAAGAGCAAGAGAACAACAAAAGUUCCAGUUUUGGGUUAAAUUUUUGGUGGAAAAGUAUUGGGAAGUGGCCACUAAUAUGAGUUAGUUGAUGGGUCUCUUUCGUAUUUGCGAUUUGGUUACUUUCAGAGAGGUUGGUGAUGAACUUGUUAUCUUGGCUCAUUUCCCCGUUUACAAUAAUCUCAGAAUUCUUUGCUUGUCUCUGUCUCUGUCUGACCCCAAUUUGCUGUCGAAUGACUCUUGCUGUACUUUCCACACCGGGCUUCCUCCUAUUAUCCUAUAUAUCCCAAAAGAUGACCCGGAAAAUAAACGAUUAUGAUAAAAUGUCCAAAUCUAUCAUCUUGUGGGUGUUUGAUUGCUCUUAACUCCAAUCCCACUUGAGAGUUGGGCACAGAAGACUUAAGGCCUCUGUGGGAUGCGCUUUGCCAUUAGUCAAUAUACCAGUCGGGUAAGCUCAAAUUGUUUCUUUCUGCUGAUGCUGCUUUCUCUGUAGAGUUUUGGUUGGAACAAUUCUGUCUUCAAGAUAAUGCAGGCAGCAUCAUUGAAUAGAGAUGUCCGUUUGAGGAGCCCUUCCUUUUCGUUUCAUUCAUUGCCGUUGUUUUCAGUUGGGGGUUGGAGUCAGAAGAGCUUAGGAGAGGACCUGUUCCCAGCUGACGGAGAGUCAUAAUUAUCCAAUAUGUCAUUCCAUAAGUAGCUUGAUGAUGAAAGGUCACAUUGGCUCAUUUCAUUGGACAUUUGCAUUUAAGUCCUGUAGCGUCAUGGAUUCUUAUUUAUGCAAUGGAUUAUUUCAGACUGUUGCUGUCAGCUGUGGAUGAAUAUAUAGCGUUGUACAUCAUGUGCUUUGCUCAAGCGCCUUAGUUUGAGCUGUAGAUAAUGAAAUAGAAGCUUGAAGUGUUUGUUGGCCAACUCUGCAUUUGGCAGUCCUACCUAUAAAGAUUACUAUUGUUGUUUCUGCAAUUCCAUUUUGACCUUAGGGCAUCAGUAGAAGUUCAGAUCUCCUACCAAGAAUCCUAGUCUAUAAGAAACUCCUAGAAUGGUGCCUUCAUCUCAUCUGGUUUAAACCGUGAUUAUUUAGUCCACUGAUAUCCAACUGAUUUUGCACCAUUUGUUUUCUUUCAUUUUUUAGCAAUUGAAGAUGGGGAUGGUGACUUUGGUUGGGCGCACUCUAUCUUGAGCUUUUGAAGGGAAUCCAUAACUUAUUCCCAAAUUCUGCUUUUAUACAGGUUGAUGCUUCAAUGGAGCUUAACAAAUAGUAACAGAUGAAGCUUCAACUGGAAGUGACCUUCGUUCUUCUCGUCGGCCUGAUCUGGGUUUAUCCUAUUUUCGGUGGUGAAAUUUCUAAUACGUCAGCAACGAUCAAAUGGACAUGUCUGUGUUCUUUAAACCGAGGGAACCAGAGUAGUGUCCUCCAAUCAAAUUGUUCCACUUCAUGCAACUGCAGUGCAGUUGGAGGAGAUAAUGGAGAUUGGUGGAGCUGUACAUGUGAUGAUGAUGGAUUUCCCAAAAUAGCAUCUCAAAAUCAAGAUACUACUUGCUUUUCAGCAUGCAACUGCACUUCCGGAACUCUGAAUAAUGUUCCAGUCCCAGGAAAGCGCCAUUCGAGCAAAGUUGUCGUGGUUACGCUGCUAAUUUGUGUCAUACUCACGACAAUUGCAUUUCUGUCCUCAAUUAUGUGCUAUUUAUACCGCAAGGAGAGAUGCUCAAUCGAGACACCAGUUUUCUCAUCAGAGAAUGAAACAAGUUGUAACAGUGCCACUAACUUAAUCAACAAGGUGACUUCGUCCGUCCCCCAGACAAAAGUCAACAUCUCUUCCCCCGUCCAUCCUCUCGCAGGGUGCUUUCACAAUACUCGUUUUCUAUUCAAAGGCAAAUUAGAAAGAGAAACUAUACAUGGGACCAUAUGCCAAUUUCCUUAUAUUGAAUUGGAAUAUGCAACCAAUAACUUCUCCAAUUCAAAUCUCAUCGGACUUGGGGGAAGCAGCUACGUCUAUCGCGGACAGCUCAAGAAUGGUAGAGUCGUAGCCAUUAAGCGGCUCAAAGAUCAUGGAGGUCCUGAUGACUCUGUGUUCUCAACAGAGGUAGAUUUAUUGGCAAGAUUAAACCAUUGCCAUGUGGUGCCCCUGGUCGGUUACUGCUCAGAAUUUCAAGGGAAGCAUGUUGAGAGGCUACUCGUAUUUGAAUAUAUCCCCAAUGGUAAUCUGAGAGAUUGUCUUGACGGUGAUCUGGGGGAGAGUAUGAACUGGGAAACUCGUGUCGCAAUUGCAAUUGGAGCUGCAAGGGGGUUGGAGUAUCUCCACGAGGCAGCUGCUCCAAGAAUUUUGCAUAGAGAUGUCAAGUCCACAAACAUUCUCCUCGAUGAGAAUUGGAGAGCAAAAAUUACUGAUUUGGGGAUGGCCAAAUAUUUAAAACCCGACGGCCCCGCAAGUUGUUCCAGCUCUCCCGCAAGAAUGCAGGGGACUUUUGGCUAUUUUGCCCCCGAGUAUGCGAUUAUUGGAAGAGCCUCUCUUAAAUCGGAUGUUUUCAGUUUCGGGGUAGUCCUUCUUGAGCUUAUCACGGGUCGCCAGCCCAUCCACAAAUCUACCAACAAGGGAGUAGAAAGUCUCGUGAUCUGGGCUACACCACGCUUGCAAGAUAGUAGACGAGUGAUCUCAGAGUUACCCGACCCACGACUAAAAGGAAACUUCCCUGAAGAAGAGAUGCAGAUAAUGGCUUACCUAGCAAAGGAAUGCCUGUUAUUGGACCCUGAUUCCCGACCCACCAUGAGUGAGGUGGUUCAGAUCCUUUCAGCUAUUGCACCUGAUAAAUCUAGAACGAGAAACAUUCAUGCUGAUCUCUUUCAGCUGUCUUCAUCUAACAUAUCAAGAGCUGAGACGAACUCAAGUAUCCUCGAGAAUCAAGUUCAGAGUCCAGUGGAUGCACAGCAUCUCUGGAAAGUUGGGUCCCAGAGAUGGUCGCCGCCAUCUUCCCUCACGGUGGACAUCGAUCAGACUCUCACAACCGAAAUCAGUGAAAAAUCACAAACUGAUGAUCUAUCCUCCGACUACAUGGAGCGACUGAUCCUCCUCUCGUCGAAAGCCAGGAGUUGGAGUGCCCAGGACGAUGAGACGGUCGACUUAGUCGAGCCCCGACUCGAGUCCUUCUCCAUGGCAAAUUUGAAAUCCCCCUGAUCAGAGCAAGCCCUAUUCAACGGUCACACAGGGGGUGGUUGCAUCAGCAAAGAUCUUGAAACCUUGUUAUCCUUUUGACUGGUAGAUGGAAGAAAGAUGAAGGCAACGACCAUAUGAAAGAUUGUUUGGUCCUUCCUUUCCUUUGCUUGUAUAAACCCAUCCCACCCAUAACAGCUAAGGAUUCUUCUAGGAGCAGCUGCCUCUGACCUCAAAACUUUGUCAGGCUCCCGUCUUGUCUGUUCGGCUCGGGUCAGGAAUGGAUCCUCCACCCCCAAGCGACCCGCUUCUGCCUCCGGGUCCGUCUCGGGGCGGAUGGCUGGAUUGCUGCUUGUGGUUUCUGUGCUGCUGCGGUCUCUUCAGGAGCUGCUGCCCCCCACUGUUUGAGGCCGGGCCACCCCCGCCAUAGCGUUAUUUUCUUCCUUUAAUCUCUGCUCUAAAGGGAUCAAGAUGCCUUUGUUAUCUGAUGGAAAGAAACACUGGCUUUGGGUGUGGGCGAUGUUGUGGGAGCGGAUGCUGAUCGAAACAAUUGCUUCAUCAAUCGUUUGGCACGACAUGAUUCUGCAUCUGUUUCCUUCUAGUGAUUCUUCAUGGUUUGUUCCUCCUCAGUGUUGUAAUCCCUUUUGCUAUAUUUUCUUUGUUUGAUGUGUGCAUCUGUAAAUGUUCAAAGAAGCAACAAGAAACACUUUCAGAUGGAGAAUGCCCCGAGCCAAGGUUCAGAGUCCGCGUCAAUUAGCUGUAGAUUGUACAAUACAGUGCAUCGACCGCUCAUUGCAUUGUCGUUCGACAUGGGACAAUUUGUUGAUUGAAAAGAUUAAACCGUCUUUUAUAAAUUUGCAAUUUAAUCAAGGAUUGAUUUGA
Punica granatum (pomegranate) is the source of this 4839-nucleotide non-coding RNA. Lineage: Eukaryota; Viridiplantae; Streptophyta; Magnoliopsida; Myrtales; Lythraceae. The record is from RefSeq and is a predicted model, not a curated record.